GAGGAUUUUGGGGAUUUUUGGGAAUUUUUUGGGGGGAAUUUUGGGAAUUUUUGUGAAUUUUUUGGGGGGAAUUUUGGCCGUUUUUGGGGUGAUUUUGUGGGGAUUUUUGGCCAUCCCAGAAUUUAAAUGAAUUUUAACCCUUCCGUGGCCGGGAAUCCCGGGGGAAUCCCUGGAAUUCCGGGAAUUCCGAGCCAUUCCCAAAGCUUUUCCCGGUUUUUCCCCCCAGGUCUCGGCCCGGGAGCGCCGGGAGCGGCUCCAGGAGAAAUCGCGGCUGAGCCGGAGCCUCCUCCCGCUGCUGCCCCAGCUCCUGGAAAAGUUCUCGGCCGAGCCCGAGGCGGUGGCGGCGCUGCUGGAGCUGCUCCCGCACCUGGAGCUCGGAAUGUUCCGGACGGCGCGGCUCGACAAGGUGGGCACGGGACGGACCAGUAUAAACCAGUACAAACCAGUACAGACCGGUUCAGACCAGUACGGACCAGUAUAGACCAGUACAGACCGGUUCAAACCAGUACAGACCAGUAUAAACCAGUUCAGACCAGUCCAUCCCAGUCCAUCCCAGUCCAUCCCAGUCCAUCCCAGUUUCCAUUCCCAGGUCCUGGAUCGGGUUCUGGAGCGGAUCCUGGAGCUGUUCCGCUGCCACUCGGAGCCGGUUCCGGUUCCCCUGAUCCCAUCCCAGUCUAUCCCAGUUUAUCCCAGUUUAUCCCAGUUUAUCCCAGUCCAUCCCAGUCCAUCCCAGUUUCCAUUCCCA
This 745-nucleotide long non-coding RNA is filed under the name Cyanistes caeruleus (blue tit). RNAcentral's name for it is "lncRNA (ENSCCEG00000004225.1)". The record is from RNAcentral. Lineage: Eukaryota; Metazoa; Chordata; Aves; Passeriformes; Paridae.